CCUACGGGUGGCAGCAGUGAGGAAUAUUGGUCAAUGGACGGAAGCCUGAACCAGCCAUGCCGCGUGCAGGAAGACGGCUCUACGAGUUGUAAACCGCUUUUGUACAAGGGUAAACCUGAAUACGUGUAUUUAGCUGAAAGUACUGUACGAAUAAGGAUCGGCUAACUCCGUGCCAGCAGCCGCGGUAAUACGGAGGAUCCAAGCGUUAUCCGGAUUUAUUGGGUUUAAAGGGUGCGUAGGCGGAUUGUUAAGUUAGAGGUGAAAUGUCCGGGCUUAACUCGGGAACUGCCUCUAAUACUGGUGAUCUAGAGAGUAGGUGCGGUAGGCGGAAUGUAUGGUGUAGCGGUGAAAUGCUUAGAGAUCAUACAGAACACCGAUUGCGAAGGCAGCUUACCAAUCUAUAUCUGACGUUGAGGCACGAAAGCGUGGGGAGCGAACAGGAUUAGAUACCCCAGUAGUC
Molecule: ribosomal RNA, 460 nt
Filed under: uncultured bacterium
Lineage: Bacteria
Description: partial 16S ribosomal RNA
Rfam family: Bacterial small subunit ribosomal RNA
Source: RNAcentral